UGCGUAGGCGGGCUAAUAAGUCAGUGGUGAAAUCUCUCGGCUCAACCGGGAAACUGCCAUUGAUACUGUUAGUCUUGAGUUCGGUUGAGGUAGGCGGAAUGUGUAAUGUAGCGGUGAAAUGCUUAGAUAUUACACAGAACACCAAUUGCGUAGGCAGCUUACUAGACCGAUACUGACGCUGAGGCACGAAAGCGUGGGGAGCGAACAGGAUUAGAUACCCUGGUAGUCC
Molecule: ribosomal RNA, 229 nt
Filed under: uncultured bacterium
Lineage: Bacteria
Description: partial 16S ribosomal RNA
Rfam family: Bacterial small subunit ribosomal RNA
Source: RNAcentral